AACGCAACUUGCGCCUUUUGGUAUUCCGAAAGGCAUGCCUGUUUGAGUGUCAUGAAAUCUCAACCAUUAGGGUUUCUUAAUGGCUUGGACUUGGGUGUUUGCCUGUUACAAGGCUCGCCUUAAAAGAGUUAGCAUGGUGAGCGAUCACUUGUCUGGCGUAAUAAGUUUCGCUAAGGCUGAUUGUGAACAUGUGCUUCUAAUCGCUGGGCAACUAGCAAUUUCUAUAUCUCUGACCUCAAAUCAGGUAGGGCUACCCGCUGAACUUAA
Molecule: unclassified non-coding RNA, 267 nt
Filed under: uncultured Trichosporonales
Lineage: Eukaryota; Fungi; Basidiomycota; Tremellomycetes
Description: sequence contains 5.8S rRNA gene, ITS2, 28S rRNA gene
Rfam family: 5.8S ribosomal RNA (bases 1-52)
Source: RNAcentral